UAAUGAUCACAAAAAGCUUAUGAGGUAGAGGCUGUUAUUUUCUGUAUGUUGCCAAUGAGAUACAAAAGGCUAGUAACUUUCCUAACUCAAUUACAGAUUGUAAGUGGUGGAACUCGGAUUUGCAUCCAGGCAGCCAGCCCCACAGGCUGGGUCAUACACCACUCUCCAGCACCAAUCUGCAUUAGCUGUGUGCUAAAAAGGUGUCUGGUGACCAGGAUGAGACUUGCGGGGACACCCACUCACUCUGUAGCCGGCACUUGACUAAGUGUCAGAAGGCAGCAAAGGAGGCUGAGCUCCUGGAAGACUCGCACGCGGGUGGAAAAGAGCCCUCCGUGUGGUCGAAGUCCACCCCCAGCGGCCUGAGGAUGCGGACGCUGCUUGCACCGUCAGCUUCAGCACCAGGUCCGCGCGGACAGCGACGAGCACGGAGGCCCACCCCACCCUCAGCCCCGCAGCCACUUCCUCGACCGCCCUCAGGUGCCAGGUCGAGCCCGGCCUGCCGGGCUGUCACUGGGGAUCCUGCACAGCUGCGGCCGCCCCAGGGCAGGGCGACACCCCUCCGGCCUCAACACACCGCCCGUCUUGUGGCCUUUCUCGGGGCCGUUAGGGGUGUCUGCGGAGAGACGGCCCCAACACACAAAAUGCUCCAAAAGUGGUUGAGGAUGAGUAUAGCCCUUCAUCCGGCUGAGGGCUCAGGUCACCCUUGGAGUCUGUCCUUUUGAUGUCACUUCUUGAGACCUUCUAAAACCCCUUAGUGUAUCCCCUGCUUUAUUUUGAAAUACGUUUGUCUGGAUUUGUAAUUAUAUCGUCUUUUGAUAACGUUGUAAUUAAUGCCGUUCUCCAGCUGUUUUGUUCUUCAUGGGUGUUCCCAGUUCUGAGCACAGCCUGGAUUUGUGUAACCCAAAUGAAUAUAGCAAAUUUAAUAACAGUGUUACCUGCUACCUGUGAAGCUUCUUCCAAGCACACCCCCCAUCACCACCA
Molecule: non-coding RNA, 981 nt
Organism: Manis javanica (Malayan pangolin)
Lineage: Eukaryota; Metazoa; Chordata; Mammalia; Pholidota; Manidae
Source: RefSeq, a predicted model, not a curated record